RNAcentral lists this non-coding RNA (24 nucleotides) under Rattus norvegicus (Norway rat). The record is from RNAcentral. Lineage: Eukaryota; Metazoa; Chordata; Mammalia; Rodentia; Muridae.
AUUUAUGUGGUGAGAAAGAAGCAA